RNAcentral lists this ribosomal RNA (306 nucleotides) under uncultured bacterium. Its description in RNAcentral is "partial 16S ribosomal RNA". It matches the Rfam family "Bacterial small subunit ribosomal RNA", at positions 505 to 807 of the family's 1533-position model. The record is from RNAcentral.
GACAGCAGCAGCCGCGGGAAUACAGAGGGUGCGAGCGUUAAUCGGAUUUACUGGGCGUAAAGCGUGCGUAGGCGGCUUUUUAAGUCGGAUGUGAAAUCCCUGAGCUUAACUUAGGAAUUGCAUUCGAUACUGGGAAGCUAGAGUAUGGGAGAGGAUGGUAGAAUUCCAGGUGUAGCGGUGAAAUGCGUAGAGAUCUGGAGGAAUACCGAUGGCGAAGGCAGCCAUCUGGCCUAAUACUGACGCUGAGGUACGAAAGCAUGGGGAGCAAACAGGAUUAGAUACCCCCGUAGUCCCUGUCUCUUAUAC